This 301-nucleotide ribosomal RNA is filed under the name uncultured bacterium. RNAcentral describes it as "partial 16S ribosomal RNA". It matches the Rfam family "Bacterial small subunit ribosomal RNA", at positions 509 to 807 of the family's 1533-position model. The record is from RNAcentral.
CAGUCGCCACGGGAAUACGGAGGGUGCAAGCGUUAUUCGGAUUUAUUGGGUUUAAAGGGUCCGUAGGCGGACUUAUAAGUCAGUGGUGAAAGCCUGUCGCUUAACGAUAGAACUGCCAUUGAUACUGUAAGUCUUGAGUAUAUUUGAGGUAGCUGGAAUAAGUAGUGUAGCGGUGAAAUGCAUAGAUAUUACUUAGAACACCAAUUGCGAAGGCAGGUUACCAAGAUAUAACUGACGCUGAGGGACGAAAGCGUGGGUAGCGAAUAGGAUUAGAUACCCCUGUAGUCCCUGUCUCUUAUAC